AUACGUAGGAACCAAGCGUUGUCCGGAAUUACUGGGUGUAAAGGGUGCGCAGGCGGAUUUGUGCGUCAAGGGUUAAAUACCUCGGCUCAACCGAGGAAAUGCCUUUGAUACGGCAAGUCUUGAGUACGAGAGAGGAUGGUAGAAUUCCAGGUGUAGCGGUGAAAUGCGUAGAUAUCAGGAGGAAUACCCGUGGCGAAGGCGGCCAUCUGGCUCGUUACUGACGCUCAGGCACGAAAGCGUGGGGAGCGAACAGGAUUAGAAACCCCAGUAGUCC
This 274-nucleotide ribosomal RNA is filed under the name uncultured bacterium. RNAcentral describes it as "partial 16S ribosomal RNA". It matches the Rfam family "Bacterial small subunit ribosomal RNA", at positions 523 to 796 of the family's 1533-position model. The record is from RNAcentral.